Scleropages formosus (Asian bonytongue) is the source of this 113-nucleotide small nuclear RNA. Its record names the gene U2. It matches the Rfam family "U2 spliceosomal RNA". Rfam says of the family: U2 is a small nuclear RNA (snRNA) component of the spliceosome (involved in pre-mRNA splicing). Lineage: Eukaryota; Metazoa; Chordata; Actinopteri; Osteoglossiformes; Osteoglossidae. The record is from Ensembl.
UUUGCUUCUCAGCCUUUUGGCUAAGAUCAAAGUGUAGUACCUGUUCCUAUCACUUUAAUAUCUUAUAGUGGGAAUAAACUAACUUAAGAAUCACGUCUGCAACUAUAUCUCUU